This 433-nucleotide ribosomal RNA is filed under the name uncultured bacterium. Its description in RNAcentral is "partial 16S ribosomal RNA". It matches the Rfam family "Bacterial small subunit ribosomal RNA", at positions 29 to 507 of the family's 1533-position model. The record is from RNAcentral.
AACGAACGCUGGCGGCAUGCCUAACACAUGCAAGUCGAACGAGACCUUCGGGUCUAGUGGCGCACGGGUGCGUAACGCGUGGGAACCUGCCCUUAGGUUCGGAAUAACUCCCCGAAAGGGGUGCUAAUACCGGAUAAUGUCUUCGGACCAAAGAUUUAUCGCCUUUGGAUGGGCCCGCGUUGGAUUAGCUAGUUGGUAGGGUAAAAGCAUCCCAAGGCGACGAUGCAUAGCUGGUCUGAGAGGAUGAUCAGCCACACUGGGACUGAGACACGGCCCAGACUCCUACGGGAGGCAGCAGUGGGGAAUAUUGGACAAUGGGCGAAAGCCUGAUCCAGCAAUGCCGCGUGAGUGAUGAAGGCCUUAGGGUUGUAAAGCUCUUGUACCCGGGAUGAUAAUGACAGUACCGGGAGAAUAAGCUCCGGCUAACUCCGUG